AUUGAACGCUGGCGGCAGGCUUAACACAUGCAAGUCGAGCGGGGGGAGGUAGCUUGCUACCGGACCUAGCGGCGGACGGGUGAGUAAUGCUUAGGAAUCUGCCUAUUAGUGGGGGACAACAUCUCGAAAGGGAUGCUAAUACCGCAUACGUCCUACGGGAGAAAGCAGGGGAUCUUCGGACAUUGCGCUAAUAGAUGAGCCUAAGUCGGAUUAGCUAGUUGGUGGGGUAAAGGCCUACCAAGGCGACGAUCUGUAGCGGGUCUGAGAGGAUGAUCCGCCACACUGGGACUGAGACACGGCCCAGACUCCUACGGGAGGCAGCAGUGGGGAAUAUUGGACAAUGGGGGGAACCCUGAUCCAGCCAUGCCGCGUGUGUGAAGAAGGCCUUAUGGUUGUAAAGCACUUUAAGCGAGGAGGAGGCUACUUUAGUUAAUACCUAGAGAUAGUGGACGUUACUCGCAGAAUAAGCACCGGCUAACUCUGUGCCAGCAGCCGCAGUAA
RNAcentral lists this ribosomal RNA (501 nucleotides) under uncultured bacterium. Its description in RNAcentral is "partial 16S ribosomal RNA". It matches the Rfam family "Bacterial small subunit ribosomal RNA", at positions 30 to 523 of the family's 1533-position model. The record is from RNAcentral.